GAUUGGAUCUAUGCGACAAUCCAGGAUCAUCUCACCAUAUCAAGAUACUUUAAUCAUAUUUGCAAUGACUCCUUUGCUAUAUAAGUUCUGCCACUUGGAAGACUGAUAGAGGAACCGAGCUUCAGGAGGAAACGUCGUCGUCAUUGGGUGAAUUGAAGCAAGCAUGCAUGUUGUGAACUGCCUACGGAGAGGGCCACAUGGCAAGGAACAGAGGGCAGCAGAGAGGGGCCGGCAGCUAGCAAAAAUAUGGAGACCUCAGUCCUAUAAUUGCAAGAGGAUGAAUUUUGCCAACAAUCUGAGGGAAUUUGGAAGCAGUUCUUUUCAAUUUUGGCAUCCAGGUGAGUAUGUAGCCCAGCUAACACCCUGCCUACAGCUUUGUGAGACCCUGAGCAGAGGGUUCAGAUAAACUGUGCCUGCCUCCUGACCCCUGGAAAAUGUGUAAAAUAAAUACAUGUUGUUUUAA
Long non-coding RNA from Diceros bicornis minor, 463 nucleotides. RefSeq lists it as uncharacterized. Lineage: Eukaryota; Metazoa; Chordata; Mammalia; Perissodactyla; Rhinocerotidae. The transcript has 3 exons. The record is from RefSeq and is a predicted model, not a curated record.